GUGAACGCUGGCGGUAGGCCUAACACCUGCCAGUCGAACGGCAGCACAGUAAGAGCUUGCUCUUACGGGUGGCGAGUGGCGGACGGGUGAGGAAUACAUCGGAAUCUACUUUUUCGUGGGGGAUAACGUAGGGAAACUUACGCUAAUACCGCAUACGGCCUACGGGUGAAAGCAGGGGAUCUUCGGACCUUGCGCGACUGAAUGAGCCGAUGUCGGAUUAGCUAGUUGGCGGGGUAAAGGCCCACCAAGGCGACGAUCCGUAGCUGGUCUGAGAGGAUGAUCAGCCACACUGGAACUGAGACACGGUCCAGACUCCUACGGGAGGCAGCAGUGGGGAAUAUUGGACAAUGGGCGCAAGCCUGAUCCAGCCAUACCGCGUGGGUGAAGAAGGCCUUCGGGUUGUAAAGCCCUUUUGUUGGGAAAGAAAAGCAGCAGGUUAAUACCCCGCUGUUCUGACGGUACCCAAAGAAUAAGCACCGGCUAACUUCGUG
Molecule: ribosomal RNA, 491 nt
Filed under: uncultured bacterium
Lineage: Bacteria
Description: partial 16S ribosomal RNA
Rfam family: Bacterial small subunit ribosomal RNA
Source: RNAcentral